This 835-nucleotide long non-coding RNA is filed under the name Gossypium barbadense (sea-island cotton). RNAcentral describes it as "long non-coding RNA (GBAR_LNC017468)". The record is from RNAcentral. Lineage: Eukaryota; Viridiplantae; Streptophyta; Magnoliopsida; Malvales; Malvaceae.
UUAAAUUUAAAAAAAAAAACUUUUAUUUCUCUUUGUUUCUCUUUGGGCGACUGGUUCGGCGAGCCUCCACGAAGGCCACUGGUCGUCGGCGACGAUUCCGCAGUCUACGAUGGAUGUAAAAAUACAAAAAACUCCUUUUAGGUCGUUUUGGCUCCCUAAGCCUAGAUCUGGUAUUGGUUUUUUCCAAAAACCCACCAAAUCGCAGAAAUUUUAAAGAAACCUUUCGAUUUUUGAGUUUUUUUUUUUAAAUUUCUCGUCAGAGCCACCUUUCAUUGGAGGUGGAGACCUCGGCCCCUCUCAACGGUGGAACGUGAAUUGUCAAGUAAUCCUUCUCUUUGUUUAUUUUAUGUUUAUAUAUAUAACAUAUUUUGAAAAAAAUAAAUAAAAGAGAAAAUCACCUUCGGGUUUUUGUAUUCUGGCUUUUAUAGUCAAUACAUUUUUAUUUUUUUCCUACUGUUUCAAUUGUUCCUUCUUGUAUGUUUGGUUUCUGUCUUUUCUUCCUUUUUUGUUGCAGGCGAUGGUUGAGGAUGACGAUGGCAAAGACAGACCUAGGGACAAGAGGCCUUGGGCGCUAGAAACCCUAGGAUUUUUGGCUUACUGAAACUAGUUAAGGUUUUGGGCCUGACAGGCCUUGGGUUAAUGGGCUUGUAAUAUGGAAAGUGCAUUGGGCCUGUAAUUUGAGGCUUGAUAUUUUGUAAAUGGACUGGCCUAUUUUUGUACUUUUAUUUAUUUUGGUUUUGUUUAUUAUAUAUUUUUUUGUUUAGUGGGCCGGGCAGAAUUGGCUUAUUACAAAAGGUAUAGCAUAUGUUGAUUAUUUUAUUUUAUUUAUAAAAAG